UAACGAUAUCGUCUGCAAAUCGGAGGUGU
This 29-nucleotide small RNA is filed under the name Bombyx mori (domestic silkworm). RNAcentral's name for it is "piRNA piR-bmo-1422730". The record is from RNAcentral. Lineage: Eukaryota; Metazoa; Arthropoda; Insecta; Lepidoptera; Bombycidae.